This 2619-nucleotide ribosomal RNA is filed under the name Escherichia coli. RNAcentral's name for it is "bacterial LSU rRNA". It matches the Rfam family "Bacterial large subunit ribosomal RNA". Lineage: Bacteria; Pseudomonadati; Pseudomonadota; Gammaproteobacteria; Enterobacterales; Enterobacteriaceae. The record is from RNAcentral.
GGGUUGUGAGGUUAAGCGACUAAGCGUACACGGUGGAUGCCCUGGCAGUCAGAGGCGAUGAAGGACGUGCUAAUCUGCGAUAAGCGUCGGUGAGGUGAUAUGAACCGUUAUAACCGGCGAUUUCCGAAUGGGGAAACCCAGUGUGUUUCGACACACUAUCAUUAACUGAAUCCAUAGGUUAAUGAGGCGAACCGGGGGAACUGAAACAUCUAAGUACCCCGAGGAAAAGAAAUCAACCGGAGCCUCUUAAUGGGGUGACUGCGUACCUUUUGUAUAAUGGGUCAGCGACUUAUAUUCUGUAGCAAGGUUAACCGAAUAGGGGAGCCGAAGGGAAACCGAGUCUUAACUGGGCGUUAAGUUGCAGGGUAUAGACCCGAAACCCGGUGAUCUAGCCAUGGGCAGGUUGAAGGUUGGGUAACACUAACUGGAGGACCGAACCGACUAAUGUUGAAAAAUUAGCGGAUGACUUGUGGCUGGGGGUGAAAGGCCAAUCAAACCGGGAGAUAGCUGGUUCUCCCCGAAAGCUAUUUAGGUAGCGCCUCGUGAAUUCAUCUCCGGGGGUAGAGCACUGUUUCGGCAAGGGGGUCAUCCCGACUUACCAACCCGAUGCAAACUGCGAAUACCGGAGAAUGUUAUCACGGGAGACACACGGCGGGUGCUAACGUCCGUCGUGAAGAGGGAAACAACCCAGACCGCCAGCUAAGGUCCCAAAGUCAUGGUUAAGUGGGAAACGAUGUGGGAAGGCCCAGACAGCCAGGAUGUUGGCUUAGAAGCAGCCAUCAUUUAAAGAAAGCGUAAUAGCUCACUGGUCGAGUCGGCCUGCGCGGAAGAUGUAACGGGGCUAAACCAUGCACCGAAGCUGCGGCAGCGACACUAUGUGUUGUUGGGUAGGGGAGCGUUCUGUAAGCCUGUGAAGGUGUACUGUGAGGUAUGCUGGAGGUAUCAGAAGUGCGAAUGCUGACAUAAGUAACGAUAAAGCGGGUGAAAAGCCCGCUCGCCGGAAGACCAAGGGUUCCUGUCCAACGUUAAUCGGGGCAGGGUGAGUCGACCCCUAAGGCGAGGCCGAAAGGCGUAGUCGAUGGGAAACAGGUUAAUAUUCCUGUACUUGGUGUUACUGCGAAGGGGGGACGGAGAAGGCUAUGUUGGCCGGGCGACGGUUGUCCCGGUUUAAGCGUGUAGGCUGGUUUUCCAGGCAAAUCCGGAAAAUCAAGGCUGAGGCGUGAUGACGAGGCACUACGGUGCUGAAGCGACAAAUGCCCUGCUUCCAGGAAAAGCCUCUAAGCAUCAGGUAACAUCAAAUCGUACCCCAAACCGACACAGGUGGUCAGGUAGAGAAUACCAAGGCGCUUGAGAGAACUCGGGUGAAGGAACUAGGCAAAAUGGUGCCGUAACUUCGGGAGAAGGCACGCUGAUAUGUAGGUGAAGCGACUUGCUCGUGGAGCUGAAAUCAGUCGAAGAUACCAGCUGGCUGCAACUGUUUAUUAAAAACACAGCACUGUGCAAACACGAAAGUGGACGUAUACGGUGUGACGCCUGCCCGGUGCCGGAAGGUUAAUUGAUGGGGUUAGCGGUAACGCGAAGCUCUUGAUCGAAGCCCCGGUAAACGGCGGCCGUAACUAUAACGGUCCUAAGGUAGCGAAAUUCCUUGUCGGGUAAGUUCCGACCUGCACGAAUGGCGUAAUGAUGGCCAGGCUGUCUCCACCCGAGACUCAGUGAAAUUGAACUCGCUGUGAAGAUGCAGUGUACCCGCGGCAAGACGGAAAGACCCCGUGAACCUUUACUAUAGCUUGACACUGAACAUUGAGCCUUGAUGUGUAGGAUAGGUGGGAGGCUUUGAAGUGUGGACGCCAGUCUGCAUGGAGCCGACCUUGAAAUACCACCCUUUAAUGUUUGAUGUUCUAACGUGGGCCCCUUACCGGGGUUGCGGACAGUGUCUGGUGGGUAGUUUGACUGGGGCGGUCUCCUCCUAAAGAGUAACGGAGGAGCACGAAGGUUGGCUAAUCCUGGUCGGACAUCAGGAGGUUAGUGCAAUGGCAUAAGCCAGCUUGACUGCGAGCGUGACGGCGCGAGCAGGUGCGAAAGCAGGUCAUAGUGAUCCGGUGGUUCUGAAUGGAAGGGCCAUCGCUCAACGGAUAAAAGGUACUCCGGGGAUAACAGGCUGAUACCGCCCAAGAGUUCAUAUCGACGGCGGUGUUUGGCACCUCGAUGUCGGCUCAUCACAUCCUGGGGCUGAAGUAGGUCCCAAGGGUAUGGCUGUUCGCCAUUUAAAGUGGUACGCGAGCUGGGUUUAGAACGUCGUGAGACAGUUCGGUCCCUAUCUGCCGUGGGCGCUGGAGAACUGAGGGGGGCUGCUCCUAGUACGAGAGGACCGGAGUGGACGCAUCACUGGUGUUCGGGUUGUCAUGCCAAUGGCACUGCCCGGUAGCUAAAUGCGGAAGAGAUAAGUGCUGAAAGCAUCUAAGCACGAAACUUGCCCCGAGAUGAGUUCUCCCUGACUCCUUGAGAGUCCUGAAGGAACGUUGAAGACGACGACGUUGAUAGGCCGGGUGUGUAAGCGCAGCGAUGCGUUGAGCUAACCGGUACUAAUGAACCGUGAGGCUUAACCUUACAACGCCGAAG